UGGGGAAUUUUGGACAAUGGGCGCAAGCCUGAUCCAGCCAUGCCGCGUGCAGGAUGAAGGCCUUCGGGUUGUAAACUGCUUUUGUACGGAACGAAAAGGUGCCUUCUAAUAAAGGGCGCUCAUGACGGUACCGUAAGAAUAAGCACCGGCUAACUACGUGCCAGCAGCCGCGGUAAUACGUAGGGUGCGAGCGUUAAUCGGAAUUACUGGGCGUAAAGCGUACGUAGGCGGAUGCGCAAGUUGGGGGUGAAAUCCCGGGGCUUAACCUCGGAAUUGCCCUCAAAACUGCACGUCUUGAGACCGAGAGAGGUAAGGGGAAUUCCUAGUGUAGAGGUGAAAUUCGUAGAUAUUAGGAAGAACACCAGUGGCGAAGGCGCCUUACUGACUCGGUACUGACGCUGAGGUACGAAAGCGUGGGGAGCAAACA
RNAcentral lists this ribosomal RNA (427 nucleotides) under uncultured bacterium. RNAcentral's name for it is "bacterial SSU rRNA". It matches the Rfam family "Bacterial small subunit ribosomal RNA", at positions 355 to 774 of the family's 1533-position model. The record is from RNAcentral.